UGGAGGACUGAAUUUAGGACACAAUCAAGUUCAUGAUGGAAGCCCUGUAUUCUUACAGGAUGAUAUUCAUAAACUAUUCGACCUUAGCUUCCCUCCACUUAAGCCUUUCUUGCUCAGAAUCACUCCUUUUAUUAGUUAUCUGUUGAUGCUUAACAUAUUACCUCCAAAACUUAGUGGAUUAAAACAACAAACAUUCAUUAUGCCAACUUCU
Molecule: long non-coding RNA, 211 nt
Filed under: Homo sapiens (human)
Lineage: Eukaryota; Metazoa; Chordata; Mammalia; Primates; Hominidae
Description: HSALNT0327162
Source: RNAcentral